RNAcentral lists this unclassified non-coding RNA (378 nucleotides) under plant metagenome. Its description in RNAcentral is "partial contains 5.8S ribosomal RNA, internal transcribed spacer 2, and large subunit ribosomal RNA". The stretch from base 1 to 105 matches the Rfam family "5.8S ribosomal RNA", at positions 50 to 154 of the family's 154-position model. The record is from RNAcentral.
GAAAUGCGAUAAGUAAUGUGAAUUGCAGAAUUCAGUGAAUCAUCGAAUCUUUGAACGCACCUUGCGCUCCUUGGUAUUCUUUGGAGCAUGCCUGUUUGAGUAUCAUGAAAUCUUCAAAGUAAAUCUUUUGUUAACUCAAUUGGUUUCUACUUUGGUAUUGGAGGUCUUUGCAGCUUCACACCUGCUCCUCUUUGUUCAUUAGCUGGAUCUCAGUGUUAUGCUUGGUUCCACUCGGCGUGAUAAGUUAUCUAUCGCUGAGGACACUGUAAAAGGUGGCCAAGGUAAAUGCAGAUGAACCGCUUCUAAUAGUCCAUUGACUUGGACAAUACUUUUAUGAUCUGAUCUCAAAUCAAGUAGGACUACCCGCUGAACUUAAGC